AACGAACGCUGGCGGCAUGCCUAACACAUGCAAGUCGAACGAGACCUUCGGGUCUAGUGGCGCACGGGUGCGUAACGCGUGGGAACCUGCCCUUAGGUUCGGAAUAACUCCCCGAAAGGGGUGCUAAUACCGGAUAAUGUCUUCGGACCAAAGAUUUAUCGCCUUUGGAUGGGCCCGCGUUGGAUUAGCUAGUUGGUAGGGUAAAAGCCUACCAAGGCGGCGAUCCAUAGCUGGUCUGAGAGGAAGAUCAGCCACACUGGGACUGAGACACGGCCCAGACUCCUACGGGAGGCAGCAGUGGGGAAUAUUGGACAAUGGGCGAAAGCCUGAUCCAGCAAUGCCGCGUGAGUGAUGAAGGCCUUAGGGUUGUAAAGCUCUUUUACCCGGGAUGAUAAUGACAGUACCGGGAGAAUAAGCUCCGGCUAACUCCGUG
Molecule: ribosomal RNA, 433 nt
Filed under: uncultured bacterium
Lineage: Bacteria
Description: partial 16S ribosomal RNA
Rfam family: Bacterial small subunit ribosomal RNA
Source: RNAcentral